This is a long non-coding RNA of Carya illinoinensis, 624 nucleotides long. RefSeq lists it as uncharacterized. The transcript has 3 exons. NCBI's taxonomy places the organism in Eukaryota, Viridiplantae, Streptophyta, Magnoliopsida, Fagales, Juglandaceae. The record is from RefSeq and is a predicted model, not a curated record.
AAAAAAUAAUAAUAAAUAAAAAAUAAAAAAAUAAGAGUUUCAGUGCACUCAUUUUUUUAUCACUACAAGAUCUUGGGAAAUUAAGAUGCAAAUGUUAUUUACGCAUAAAAAAAAAGAUACUGUUAUUUAAUGAUCAUCUUCUGGUCUCUUGUGCAGUAAAACCACGAUGUCUUCCAGGAAUUAAUUUCAUUAAAUUAUUGGGAGAUGAUGAAAAAGCCUUUGAUGAAUUAUAUUGUAUCGCAUUUGAAAUGAUGGAUGCUCAAUGGCUUGCAAUGAAUGCUUCCUACAUGGACUUCAAUGAGGUAUUACAAGUAACAAGGACUCAAGUUGGAAAGAAAGCUGUCUUUAGAAGACAUUAAGAGCAUACAAUUUGCUGUACCAGUGACAAUGCGUCUCAGCUCAUCAAAAGAAACAAAAGCAUUGUGUAAACAUGGACGUACAGGCUUGUUACGAAUGCAGAUAUCAGCAAGACGGAGGCCAAUCUAGUGGUUUGUCUGCGAGUUUGCAGUAAUACAUAUCAUUUUGGAGGUCCCAUAGCAGACAUUUGUACACUAAAUGGACUUCAAAUGAGCUGUAGUUGAGGCUAGAUUUAUAAUGAACUUUCCAACUCUGUAAACUAUAGCA